Monodelphis domestica (gray short-tailed opossum) is the source of this 2033-nucleotide long non-coding RNA. The record is from Ensembl. NCBI's taxonomy places the organism in Eukaryota, Metazoa, Chordata, Mammalia, Didelphimorphia, Didelphidae.
UUAGGUUUGCUGGCUGACACCAGUCAGAAUGGUAGGACUCCAAGUGAUGUGAUGGUCCUAAAAUUGAAUGGAUGAAAUCACCUAGGAAAUGGUCUCAGUAUGUCUUGGGGGUCCAGAGGAAUAAGUUGCAGGUUGGAUGACAAGGAAAUGACCAUGAUGAAUGCUUGAUGAAAUAUGAAGGAUGGUUUAGAAUAUGACUGCUACGGAAAGUGAUAGAAGAUUAUGAUCAGUAUUAUCUUGUAAAGCAAGGAAACCUCCAGGAGAAAAACUUGUAAAGAAAUUGGUGAAACUCAGCUAAAACAAAUCAUCCCAACAUUAACAUAUGAAUAUAAAUUUAUUGUUAACCAUCAAUUAAACAUCUACUAAGUUCUAGGUACUAUCCCUAUAAGGAUGAACCUAGAAGGACAACAAAAAGGCAAGCUGCAAAAUAGAUUGUUUGGGGAAUUUCUAUAGUUUCUAUAUAAUCUUGUCAAUGAGAGUAGAAUCACUGAUAUUGAACUUUACUCAGCGGGAUGCAAGUCAAUGUCAAUGACAUUAAAAAAGCUGAAGGUGGGAAGAAUGGUGAGACAAGUAAUAUGUAAAGAAAAGAAAGAUAUAUUUAAAGCCAUUAAUUAUAGAUGAACUAGAUGGCAAAUGGUUAGAGCAAUCAGGAAGAUCUGCAUUCAAAUUCAACCUUAGACAUUUACUGGCUGUGUGAUCCCAAGCCAGUAAUGUAAUCUAUCUGCCUCAGUCUCCUUAACUGUAAAAUGGAGGUAAUAGUAUCUACAUCCUAGGGUUGUUGUGAGGAUCAGAUGAGUUAAUAAUUGUAAAGUGCUUAGCCUAGUGUUUGGCACAUAGUACUGUAUAAUAUAAAUGUUUGCUAUUAAUGUUAUUGUUAUUGUUGUUACACAGCUUUAAAGGUGCUUAAAUGGACCUUCAAGGUAUAUUGAAGAAGGAAAAAAUUCUAAAUGGUUGAAAAAGAACAGAGCUACUAUUUUAUCAAAAGAGAUUUAAAAAUAUCAACAGUCCAAAACAUAAGUCUGUUUUAUCUCUAUUCAGUCCUCAUGAGAAUGAAGCAAGAAGAUUGCCCUGUUCAAAAGUCAUCAGUAGCAUCCUUUUACCAGUCAAAGUUUACUGAAUGCAUCCUUCUUAGAACUCCAGUAAUAGUGGAUGAAAUGGAUGACAUGAACCUUACCCUGUUCUCAUAUAAUUGUGAUGUCCUUGUUCAGUUCUUCUUACUUAAGGAUAUGUCAUAUCUAUCUCAAGUCUCCUCUGCCCAGUUUCCUCCAGGUAAAACUUUGAAUUUUUCUUCUUUUUUUCUUCUUAUUUACAUCUGGUUUAUUCUUGGAUUUAAUUGAUCAACUUAAUGGAGAGUCCAGGUACGUUUCACUCAUACAUAAAUGAAGAAACUGAGUCCAAGAAAAAGAAGACUUUCUUUUUACCUACAAAGGAUGCAUUGUGGCACUCAAGCCUAGAGUUUAGGUCUUUUGACUUUCAUUCAUUACUCUGCAUAGUAUUAGGUUAAAAUAUCCAAAAAAAAUCUUUCCUAGACCAGAUAUUGAUGUUGAUUUUGAUGAUGAUGAGGUAGUAGGUUUUCCUUCCAUUUGAACCUUUCUGUAAUGAUUAAAAUUUUUUUGGAGACUGUUUCUAACAUCUUUCACCCUUCCAUUGUAUUGGUGAAGUCUCCUCCCCUCCCCACCAUGAACUUCUUUAUGAAAUACAAAUUUACCCCAUUUUGUCUCUUUCCACAGUUGUGGCAGCAAGGAAUCCCUCCAGGCUGGGGCCCUCACUCCAAGAUUCCAGGGACCACCAGACACUUAGCACAGUAGGUAGGGGAGGGGUCCUUGGACCUUCCUUCUUCCUUUUCCUUAAACCUGACAAUUCAGCCUUCUCUGAAUAAUACCUUUUAAGUUGAAUCCAGCAGGAGGGUAUCCUGGCUCUGUCCUGUUAGAUUUGGUUUUCCGUCCCUUUGAAACACUUUGUUUUUGAUUGGUGUGGAAGGAUUUUCACAAAGGUCUGGACUUUUGCUGCUUCUAAGCAUCUUGACUUUACCC